Molecule: ribosomal RNA, 725 nt
Filed under: Parabacteroides merdae
Lineage: Bacteria; Pseudomonadati; Bacteroidota; Bacteroidia; Bacteroidales; Tannerellaceae
Description: bacterial SSU rRNA
Rfam family: Bacterial small subunit ribosomal RNA
Source: RNAcentral
UGCGUGGUGUAGCGGUGAAAUGCAUAGAUAUCACGCAGAAUUCCGAUUGCGAAGGCAGCUUACUAAACCAUAACUGACAUUGAAGCACGAAAGCGUGGGGAUCAAACAGGAUUAGAUACCCUGGUAGUCCACGCAGUAAACGAUGAUUACUAGGAGUUUGCGAUACAAUGUAAGCUCUACAGCGAAAGCGUUAAGUAAUCCACCUGGGGAGUACGCCGGCAACGGUGAAACUCAAAGGAAUUGACGGGGGCCCGCACAAGCGGAGGAACAUGUGGUUUAAUUCGAUGAUACGCGAGGAACCUUACCCGGGUUUGAACGUAGUCUGACCGGAGUGGAAACACUCUUUCUAGCAAUAGCAGAUUACGAGGUGCUGCAUGGUCGUCGUCAGCUCGUGCCGUGAGGUGUCGGCUCAAGUGCCAUAACGAGCGCAACCCUUAUCACUAGUUACUAACAGGUGAAGCUGAGGACUCUGGUGAGACUGCCAUUGUAAGUGGUGAGGAAGGCGGGGACGACGUCAAAUCAGCACGGCCCUUACAUCCGGGGCGACACACGUGUUACAAUGGCAUGGACAAAGGGCAGCUACCUGGUGACAGGAUGUUUAUCUCCAAACCAUGUCUCAGUUCGGAUCGGAGUCUGCAACUCGACUCCGUGAAGCGGGAUUCGCUAGUAAUCGCGCAUCAGCCAUGGCGCGGUGAAUACGUUCCCGGGCCUUGUACACACCGCCC